AACCUUGAGAAUUCGGGGCAAAACGCCUAUUUAGGACGGGCCGGGGCGACCCGGCUAUGUCGGUAGAAUGUUAGGUGGAAUAGGCAUUUCGGACCCGGGGGGCAGUACCCCGGCGCCUCCACCAUCAGCCCCCGCAUGGGGACCCCAUCAAAGUAGUACUUUGAUGGGACCCGGCGCGGGGGUUGCUGAUGGGGGCGAAAUAGGAUCGACGAGUGCAGUAAAGGCCUGAUUGCCGGCCGGCCUGAAUGAGCCGUAAAACCGUUCAUAACCACAAGUGCCAACGAUAACGAGGCGCUCGCAAUUGCUGCGUAACUGACGGCCUAACGGUCUGAAGUUACAAUGACAAAAGCGCGGUCGGACCCCACCGGGCAACAGAAGGGGAUUCCA
RNAcentral lists this transfer-messenger RNA (387 nucleotides) under Sphingomonas sp. It matches the Rfam family "Alphaproteobacteria transfer-messenger RNA". Rfam says of the family: Bacterial tmRNA, also known as 10Sa RNA or SsrA, is named for its dual tRNA and mRNA-like properties. Its role is to liberate the mRNA from a stalled ribosome. To accomplish this part of the tmRNA is used as a reading frame that ends in a translation stop signal. The record is from RNAcentral. Lineage: Bacteria; Pseudomonadati; Pseudomonadota; Alphaproteobacteria; Sphingomonadales; Sphingomonadaceae.